Long non-coding RNA from Larimichthys crocea (large yellow croaker), 1724 nucleotides. RefSeq lists it as uncharacterized. The transcript is spliced from 3 exons. The record is from RefSeq and is a predicted model, not a curated record. Lineage: Eukaryota; Metazoa; Chordata; Actinopteri; Sciaenidae.
UAAGCUCUUACAUGCAAUUACAGUAUGAAAUGGAAGACAUGUAGAGACAUAAUGAGGACACUGAAGCCCGUGUUAGAAUAAAGAUUUUUUUAAGGUCUUAAACAUUCUGCUAAUGACAAGUCAAACACAAAGUGAGUUUCUCAAUUAACUGGGAACCCUCUCGAGGACACCUGCAGGUCCCCAGACUCCAGUUUGAGCACGAGGCAGUUCCACCUCCCUGCAGCCCGAGACGCUCCAGCUGCAGGUUAAUAAUAGUGGAGCCUUCAGUAAGGUCGCAGGUAGAGUGGUGUUACCGCACUGAAGAGAAAAACUGCGACUUAUUAAGUUUGUUAAAAAAUCGUUAACAGUGCGCUACACACGGACAUGGCCUUUGGGCAUCUUAUCCCUCAGCUGAGGCUGGAGGAGCCAGCGGAGGACGGGAUGUUCAGGAGCAUCGCCUUCCGCCCCUUCCAGCAUGGACACCACCAGCGUGGGAAGUCAAGUUCUCCCGGCAGCGACAGAAAACGACACAGCCUCUUACUUCCUGCCUCCACAAGCCACGUUGCAAGUGACUUGGGUUUGUUCCUCUCCAAGGGCAUCACCACGGAGCCUGGCUCACCCAAGGGCCCCAGCUAAUGAGCCAACGCAGGGAAAUUGAUUUAGUCUCCACCUUCCUAUCUCCAUCCCUUGCAGGCCAAAGAUAAAACAUGUAAAAGCUCAGAAGAAGGCGGCUACUUGAGGGUGUCAUGCUGGAAAAAAAGAGAGACACAGAGGAGAGCAGCCUCAUUAUUGUAGGUACACAGUGGACACCAGCAGAUGUUACACAGCUGACCUGUGAUCCUGCCGGAGGAACAGAUGUGCAUGUACCUGUCAGACUGACCUCACAGGCAGCUUCUUGUAACAUCAGAGACCUCUUCAAACACUGCAGCAGAAACAAAUUAAAUGCCUAGGUUAUGUAAUUGUAGAAAUAAGUCAAAUCGCUGCUUAUAGGUUCCCACUUAAAAAAUAUUUUUAAGAUGUUUUAUUACUGCCUGAAUUUUUAUUCAAAACACGUAAUUAAACCAAGAUGAUCCACCCAUCAUUCUCACAAAUCUCUACAAACUAAUUUGUUCUGUGUAUUCAGGAGGAAGCAGCAGCAAAGCAAUUGUAACUGCACUGUCAGUAGAAGACAGUAAUACAUGAUAGUAAUAUUUCCUUAUUAGUACCACCUUUAUGUGUUUUGUGAAUACACUGAUUGCAACAGCCAUAAAGUUUUACCUUCAACACUGUGAUCAUGAACAGUGCAGAUAAUAAGGUGUGAUGAGCUCUAAGCAUGAAAGCCGUACAUUAUUCACACCUCGACUAUGGUUCUGAUGUUAAAGGUUGUGUUAAUACCUUUGGCUCAAAUAACAAUCCAAUUAAUUUUGACGAGGCCUGCAAUAGUAACAGUAACACACAGGACUGCAGCGUGUAACAAUUUACAUUAAUUUUCAGUUAAUAGGAAACAUUGUUCCCUGACCUUGUCUGUUAUUAGCUCACUUUGAUAACGUGAAUAACGUCUGUGAACAUCUGAGACAGAAUGACUCCAUAACAACUAAGUUAUUAUUAAUGCCCUGCAUGCCCUGGAGGGGUUUGUACAAUGGCUGAACAUCUAAUGGCCAGUAUAUGUACUGUUAAAUGUUUUUUAGCUUGACAAAUACUGUAACAAAAUCAAUUUUGUAUUAAACAUCUGAAGUUAUGGUAGAGAAUACACAGUAUGCUGUAGU